Molecule: ribosomal RNA, 425 nt
Filed under: uncultured cyanobacterium
Lineage: Bacteria; Bacillati; Cyanobacteriota
Description: bacterial SSU rRNA
Rfam family: Bacterial small subunit ribosomal RNA
Source: RNAcentral
UUGGGUUAGUCCGCAACGAGCGCACCCACGUUUUUAGUUGCCAGCAUUGAGUUGGGCACUCUAGAGAGACUGCCGGUGACAAACCGGAGGAAGGUGUGGAUGACGUCAAGUCAGCAUGCCCCUUACGUUCUGGGCUACACACGUACUACAAUGCUUCGGACAAAGGGCAGCGAGCGCGCGAGUGCAAGCCAAUCCCAUAAACCGAGGCUCAGUUCAGAUUGCAGGCUGCAACUCGCCUGCAUGAAGGCGGAAUCGCUAGUAAUCGCAGGUCAGCAUACUGCGGUGAAUACGUUCCCGGGCCUUGUACACACCGCCCGUCACACCAUGGGAGUUGGCCACGCCCGAAGUCGUUACUCCAACCGUUCGCGGAGGAGGAUGCCGAAGGCAGGGCUGAUGACUGGGGUGAAGUCGUAACAAGGUAACCA